RNAcentral lists this ribosomal RNA (841 nucleotides) under Acinetobacter sp. 230853. RNAcentral describes it as "bacterial SSU rRNA". It matches the Rfam family "Bacterial small subunit ribosomal RNA", at positions 8 to 843 of the family's 1533-position model. Lineage: Bacteria; Pseudomonadati; Pseudomonadota; Gammaproteobacteria; Moraxellales; Moraxellaceae. The record is from RNAcentral.
AGAGUUUGAUCAUGGCUCAGAUUGAACGCUGGCGGCAGGCUUAACACAUGCAAGUCGAGCGGAUGAAGGUAGCUUGCUACUGGAUUCAGCGGCGGACGGGUGAGUAAUGCUUAGGAAUCUGCCUAUUAGUGGGGGACAACGUUCCGAAAGGAGCGCUAAUACCGCAUACGUCCUACGGGAGAAAGCAGGGGACCUUUGGGCCUUGCGCUAAUAGAUGAGCCUAAGUCGGAUUAGCUAGUUGGUAGGGUAAAGGCCUACCAAGGCGACGAUCUGUAGCGGGUCUGAGAGGAUGAUCCGCCACACUGGGACUGAGACACGGCCCAGACUCCUACGGGAGGCAGCAGUGGGGAAUAUUGGACAAUGGGGGGAACCCUGAUCCAGCCAUGCCGCGUGUGUGAAGAAGGCCUUUUGGUUGUAAAGCACUUUAAGCGAGGAGGAGGCUACCUAGAUUAAUACUUUAGGAUAGUGGACGUUACUCGCAGAAUAAGCACCGGCUAACUCUGUGCCAGCAGCCGCGGUAAUACAGAGGGUGCGAGCGUUAAUCGGAUUUACUGGGCGUAAAGCGUGCGUAGGCGGCCAAUUAAGUCAAAUGUGAAAUCCCCGAGCUUAACUUGGGAAUUGCAUUCGAUACUGGUUGGCUAGAGUAUGGGAGAGGAUGGUAGAAUUCCAGGUGUAGCGGUGAAAUGCGUAGAGAUCUGGAGGAAUACCGAUGGCGAAGGCAGCCAUCUGGCCUAAUACUGACGCUGAGGUACGAAAGCAUGGGGAGCAAACAGGAUUAGAUACCCUGGUAGUCCAUGCCGUAAACGAUGUCUACUAGCCGUUGGGGCCCUUGAGGCUUUAG